Molecule: ribosomal RNA, 440 nt
Filed under: uncultured bacterium
Lineage: Bacteria
Description: partial 16S ribosomal RNA
Rfam family: Bacterial small subunit ribosomal RNA
Source: RNAcentral
CCUACGGGGGGCAGCAGUGGGGGAUAUUUCACAAUGGGCGGAACCCUGAUGCAGCGACGCCGCGUGGGUGAAGGAGCGUUUCGGCUUGUAAAGUCCUUUCGUCAGGGAAGAAGAUGACGGUACCUGGCGAAUAAGCCUCGGCUAACUACGUGCCAGCAGCCGCGGUAAUGCGUAGGGCGCAAGCGUUACCCGGAUUUACUGGGUGUAAAGGGGCCGCAGACGGGAAAGCAAGCCAGAGGUUAAAUCCUGGGGCCAAACCCCGAGACUGCUAUUGAAACUGUUUUGCGCGAGUACAGGAGGGGCAAGCGGAAUUCCUAGUGUAGGGGUGAAAUGCGUAGAGAUUAGGAGGAACACCGAUAGCGAAGGCGGCCUGCUGGACUGUGACUGACACUGAGGCCCGAAAGCGUGGGGAGCAAACAGGAUUAGAUACCCCAGUAGUC